GUGGGGAAUAUUGGACAAUGGGCGAAAGCCUGAUCCAGCCAUGCCGCGUGUGUGAAGAAGGUCUUCGGAUUGUAAAGCACUUUAAGUUGGGAGGAAGGGCAUUAACCUAAUACGUUAGUGUUUUGACGUUACCGACAGAAUAAGCACCGGCUAACUUCGUGCCAGCAGCCGCGGUAAUACGAAGGGUGCAAGCGUUAAUCGGAAUUACUGGGCGUAAAGCGCGCGUAGGUGGUUCGUUAAGUUGGAUGUGAAAGCCCCGGGCGCAACCUGGGAACUGCAUCCAAAACUGGCGAGCUAGAGUACGGUAGAGGGUGGUGGAAUUUCCUGUGUAGCGGUGAAAUGCGUAGAUAUAGGAAGGAACACCAGUGGCGAAGGCGACCACCUGGACUGAUACUGACACUGAGGUGCGAAAGCGUGGGGAGCAAACAGGAUUAGAAACCCCUGUAGUCC
Molecule: ribosomal RNA, 450 nt
Filed under: uncultured bacterium
Lineage: Bacteria
Description: partial 16S ribosomal RNA
Rfam family: Bacterial small subunit ribosomal RNA
Source: RNAcentral